Molecule: non-coding RNA, 82 nt
Organism: Desmophyllum pertusum
Lineage: Eukaryota; Metazoa; Cnidaria; Anthozoa; Scleractinia; Caryophylliidae
Source: the annotation of a GenBank genome assembly
UCUCCCGUAGCUCAGUGGGUAGAGCAUCCAACCAGAUCGGACUGCGCAAGGGUCCAUUAGGUUUCGACUCCUGUUGGGAGAG